This 428-nucleotide ribosomal RNA is filed under the name Daphnia galeata. Its description in RNAcentral is "partial 12S ribosomal RNA". The record is from RNAcentral. Lineage: Eukaryota; Metazoa; Arthropoda; Branchiopoda; Diplostraca; Daphniidae.
AAAUUUUUGAAGUUUCUCUAGCUUUUUUGUUGGGUGAAAUCAGUAUAAGAAGCUCUUUCUUCUUUAAAAAUUAGUAGGAACUAAAAAACUUUGAUUUAAAACCAGGAUUAGAUACCCUGUUAUUCUCAGUUAUUCUUAAACAGGGUAGUAAAAGUUGUUCUUCAAACCCAAAGAUUUUGGCGGCACUUUAUCCAAAUAGAGGAGCUUGUCCCUUAAUCGAUAGUCCUCGUUUUAUCUUUCCUUCAUUUGUAAAGCUUGUAUACCGCCGUUGUCAGAUUACUUUUAGAGAAUGUUUUCAAGUUAAAAGACUUUAUAACUUCAGGUCAAGGUGCAGUUUAUAUGGGGGUGGAGGUGAGCUACAGUUUUCUUUAGAAAAUACGGAUUCUAAGCUUUGAAGCUAGCUGAAGGUGGAUUUACUAGUAAAGUAA